GAGGGUGUAGCUCAGGUGGUAGAGUGCGGGCUUCACAUGCGCGAGGCCCUGGGUUCAAUCCUCAGCACCUCCU
This 73-nucleotide transfer RNA is filed under the name Camelus bactrianus (Bactrian camel). It matches the Rfam family "tRNA". From Rfam's summary of the family: Transfer RNA (tRNA) molecules are approximately 80 nucleotides in length. Their secondary structure includes four short double-helical elements and three loops (D, anti-codon, and T loops). Lineage: Eukaryota; Metazoa; Chordata; Mammalia; Artiodactyla; Camelidae. RNAcentral also lists the same sequence under 2 other names. The record is from Rfam by way of RNAcentral.